GGGAGGCCUGCGGCAGAGAAACGAAAGGAGGUAUAUUCAGACGUGCUAAUCACGUCUGCGGGACUUUCGUUAUUUCUUCACCUCGAUUUCCCCCAUUUGCUCUGUGCCAUAGGUUUUCCCUUUAAGAGGAGUUCGAGCUGUCAAUUUUCAACUUUUUCAAUUAUCUGUUGAAUACAUCAUUUAAGUGUACAAGUUAAAUAUUUCAAACAGCUGACAUGUUAACCAAUUUUAAACAGACUGCACAUCAUGUUAUCUGUAACUUGAGCC
This 267-nucleotide long non-coding RNA is filed under the name Pelobates cultripes (western spadefoot toad). Lineage: Eukaryota; Metazoa; Chordata; Amphibia; Anura; Pelobatidae. The record is from RNAcentral.